UACGAAGGUGGCAAGCGUUGUUCGGAAUCACUGGGCUUAAAGGGCGCGUAGGCGGAAAUGCAAGUGUUUUGUGAAAUCCCACGGCUUAACCGUGGAAUUGCUUGGCAAACUGCAUUUCUUGAGGCAAGUAGGUGUGUGUGGAACUCUUGGUGGAGCGGUGGAAUGCGUAGAUAUCAAGAGGAACGCCGAAGGUGAAGACAGCACACUGGACUUGUCCUGACGCUGAGGCGCGAAAGCGUGGGGAGCAAACAGG
RNAcentral lists this ribosomal RNA (253 nucleotides) under uncultured bacterium. Its description in RNAcentral is "partial 16S ribosomal RNA". It matches the Rfam family "Bacterial small subunit ribosomal RNA", at positions 524 to 776 of the family's 1533-position model. The record is from RNAcentral.